This 424-nucleotide ribosomal RNA is filed under the name uncultured bacterium. Its description in RNAcentral is "bacterial SSU rRNA". It matches the Rfam family "Bacterial small subunit ribosomal RNA", at positions 356 to 772 of the family's 1533-position model. The record is from RNAcentral.
GGGGAAUUUUGCGCAAUGGGCUAACGCCUGACGCAGCAACGCCGCGUGGAGGAUGAAGGUCUUUGGAUUGUAAACUCCUGUCAGCAGGGAAAAAGCGACUCGGCUUAAUACGCCGGGGAGUUGAUUGUACCUGCAGAGGCAGCCCCGGCUAACUACGUGCCAACAGCCGCGGUAAAACGUAGGAGGCCAGCGUUAUCCGGAUUCACUGGGCGUAAAGCGCGUGCAGGUGGUUCGGUAAGUUGGGCGUGAAAUCUCCCGGCUCAACUGGGAGAGGUCGUUCAAUACUACCGAACUUGAGAGCAGAAGAGGAAGAUGGAAUUCCCGGUGUAGUGGUGAAAUGCGUAGAUAUCGGGAGGAACACCAGUGGCGAAGGCGAUCUUCUGGUCUGUUUCUGACACUCAGACGCGACAGCUAGGGUAGUAAA